GAAAUGCGAUAAGUAAUGAGAAUUGCAGAAUUCAGUGAAUCAUCGAAUCUUUGAACGCACCUUGCGCUCCUUGGUAUUCCUUGGAGCAUGCCUGUUUGAGUAUCAUGAAAUCUUCAAAGUAAAUCUUUUGUUAACUCAAUUGGUUUCUACUUUGGUAUUGGAGGUCUUUGCAGCUUCACACCUGCUCCUCUUUGUUCAUUAGCUGGAUCUCAGUGUUAUGCUUGGUUCCACUCGGCGUGAUAAGUUAUCUAUCGCUGAGGACACUGUAAAAGGUGGCCAAGGUAAAUGCAGAUGAACCGCUUCUAAUAGUCCAUUGACUUGGACAAUACUUUUAUGAUCUGAUCUGAAAUCAGGUAGGACUACCCGCUGAACUUAAGC
This 378-nucleotide unclassified non-coding RNA is filed under the name plant metagenome. RNAcentral describes it as "partial contains 5.8S ribosomal RNA, internal transcribed spacer 2, and large subunit ribosomal RNA". The stretch from base 1 to 105 matches the Rfam family "5.8S ribosomal RNA", at positions 50 to 154 of the family's 154-position model. The record is from RNAcentral.